UGGGGAAUUUUGCACAAUGGGGGAAACCCUGAUGCAGCGACGCCGCGUGAUUUAGAAGGCCUUCGGGUUGUAAAAAUCUUUUCUAUGGAAGAAAAUGACAGUACCAUAGGAAUAAGGACCGGCUAAUUACGUGCCAGCAGCCGCGGUAAUACGUAAGGUCCGAGCGUUGUCCGGAAUCAUUGGGCGUAAAGGGUACGUAGGCGGGUAAGCAAGUUAGAAGUGAAAUCCUAUAGCUCAACUAUAGUAAGCUUUUAAAACUGCUCAUCUUGAGGUAUGGAAGGGAAAGUGGAAUUCCUAGUGUAGCGGUGAAAUGCGCAGAUAUUAGGAGGAAUACCGGUGGCGAAGGCGACUUUCUGGCCAUAACCUGACGCUGAGGUACGAAAGCGUGGGUAGCAAACAGG
Molecule: ribosomal RNA, 401 nt
Filed under: bacterium
Lineage: Bacteria
Description: partial 16S ribosomal RNA
Rfam family: Bacterial small subunit ribosomal RNA
Source: RNAcentral